RNAcentral lists this ribosomal RNA (1012 nucleotides) under Tingoldiago clavata. Its description in RNAcentral is "SSU rRNA". It matches the Rfam family "Eukaryotic small subunit ribosomal RNA", at positions 81 to 1102 of the family's 1831-position model. Lineage: Eukaryota; Fungi; Ascomycota; Dothideomycetes; Pleosporales; Lentitheciaceae. The record is from RNAcentral.
CGUGAACUGCGAAUGGCUCAUUAAAUCAGUUAUCGUUUAUUUGAUAGUACCUUACUACUUGGAUAACCGUGGUAAUUCUAGAGCUAAUACAUGCUGAAAACCCCGACUUCGGAAGGGGUGUAUUUAUUAGAUAAAAAACCAAUGCCCUUCGGGGCUCCUUGGUGAUUCAUAAUAACUUCUCAGAUCGCAUGGCCUUGCGCCGGCGACGGUUCAUUCAAAUUUCUGCCCUAUCAACUUUCGAUGGUAAGGUAUUGGCUUACCAUGGUUUCAACGGGUAACGGGGAAUUAGGGUUCGAUUCCGGAGAGGGAGCCUGAGAAACGGCUACCACAUCCAAGGAAGGCAGCAGGCGCGCAAAUUACCCAAUCCCGACACGGGGAGGUAGUGACAAUAAAUACUGAUACAGGGCUCUUUUGGGUCUUGUAAUUGGAAUGAGUACAAUUUAAACCUCUUAACGAGGAACAAUUGGAGGGCAAGUCUGGUGCCAGCAGCCGCGGUAAUUCCAGCUCCAAUAGCGUAUAUUAAAGUUGUUGCAGUUAAAAAGCUCGUAGUUGAACCUUUGGCCUGGCUGGCAGGUCCGCCUCACCGCGUGCACUUGUCCGGCCGGGCCUUCUCUUCUGGAGAACCGCAUGCCCUUCACUGGGUGUGUUGGGGACCAGGACUUUUACUUUGAAAAAAUUAGAGUGUUCAAAGCAGGCCUUUGCUCGAAUACGUUAGCAUGGAAUAAUAGAAUAGGACGUGCGGUCCUAUUUUGUUGGUUUCUAGGACCGCCGUAAUGAUUAAUAGGGACAGUCGGGGGCAUCAGUAUUCAAUUGUCAGAGGUGAAAUUCUUGGAUUUAUUGAAGACUAACUACUGCGAAAGCAUUUGCCAAGGAUGUUUUCAUUAAUCAGUGAACGAAAGUUAGGGGAUCGAAGACGAUCAGAUACCGUCGUAGUCUUAACCAUAAACUAUGCCGACUAGGGAUCGGGCGGUGUUAUUAUUUUGACUCGCUCGGCACCUUACGAGAAAUCAAA